CUGGCUCCAUCCGGUGUCAGUGACUUCCCUUGCAGGUCCUGACGGCAGCCGCGUUCCCAUCGACUCCAGCUUUUUCAGCAUCGACGAAAUUCUGCACCAACAGAAUUGGCACUAGAGGAAGGGCUUUUUUGUGUCUUCGCAGGACCCUUGUUCUUAAAAGAGUACUCAACGGGAUUGUCUCCGGCUAUCUUCUUCGACAUCUUCUUCCUCUUCUCCU
RNAcentral lists this long non-coding RNA (217 nucleotides) under Elaeis guineensis (African oil palm). Its description in RNAcentral is "long non-coding RNA (EGUI_LNC045188)". Lineage: Eukaryota; Viridiplantae; Streptophyta; Magnoliopsida; Arecales; Arecaceae. The record is from RNAcentral.